RNAcentral lists this ribosomal RNA (450 nucleotides) under uncultured bacterium. RNAcentral describes it as "partial 16S ribosomal RNA". It matches the Rfam family "Bacterial small subunit ribosomal RNA", at positions 354 to 796 of the family's 1533-position model. The record is from RNAcentral.
GUGGGGAAUUUUGGACAAUGGGCGCAAGCCUGAUCCAGCAAUGCCGCGUGCAGGAAGAAGGCCUUCGGGUUGUAAACUGCUUUUGUACGGAACGAAACGGUCCGGGUUAAUACCCUGGGCUAAUGACGGUACCGUAAGAAUAAGCACCGGCUAACUACGUGCCAGCAGCCGCGGUAAUACGUAGGGUGCAAGCGUUAAUCGGAAUUACUGGGCGUAAAGCGUGCGCAGGCGGUUUUGUAAGACAGGGGUGAAGUCCCCGGGCUCAACCUGGGAAUUGCGCUUGUGACUGCAAGGCUGGAGGGCGGCAGAGGGGGAUGGAAUGCCGAGUGUAGCAGUGAAAUGCGUAGAUAUGCGGAGGAACACCGAUGGCGAAGGCAAUCCCCUGGGCCUGCACUGACGCUCAUGCACGAAAGCGUGGGGAGCAAACAGGAUUAGAUACCCGAGUAGUCC